CUUUGCAAUAUCUGUGACAUUUACUAGCAGUUUCUCAGUGAAAAUUGUAAAUCAUUCUCCCUUUUUUCAGUGCAUGCAGUGUACUAAUUGGAACUUACAAAAGGAAUUCAAGAGCCAAUAAUAUUUGUAAUAUAAAAUUCCAGGUUUAUUACACAACUAGAUUAGUAAGCAAGUUACAGAAGAGGAGAAAUGCAAAUAGAUGGUCAAAGUCAUCCAAAACAUGACUGUAUUACUGUGGAAUGGAAAAUGAAAGAGUCAAUUUGGGUGAACCAAUGUUUUCAUACAAGACAUGGUUUCCAGGGUAGUUUCCUGACGGGGUUGAUCACCGACUCAUGGGGAAAGGGGUAACAAGCCAUGCUUUGCACUUACGCCCGUGGGAUUCACAGAGAACAAACAAGUUGUUAAUUGUGUGUGGGCAAGUGGCCUCGUAGCAAGGGAACUUUACUAACUAUUAACCAGUGUGUCUUCCAGAGAAAUUCAACUGAAGAUUACAUUUUCUGUGAUGUAACAUCAAUAGCCACACUGAGAUGCUGCCUGUUUCAAAUUCAAAUACAUGCACAGGUGGAACCCAAAUCAUUGUGGCUCUGUUUCAGUGAAACGGUUGACAUCUAUUAGAAGACAUUGUCACUGAUAACAUGCUCCAUUGCAGAUCAAAGCAGAAUAUCAUGCUCAGAGGUCAUGGGAGGUUAGGUAUGUUCCACAGUGCCAAUUAUGACAGCUCAGGUUUGCAUAGCUCUUAAUGAAAAUUUGUCUCCAACGUCAUGGAUGCAAACCACCAUUAGAAUAAUUCACAGGCAAAGGGAUUUUUCUUUUACUAAUGCGUGCCUUGCUUAUUGUUUGUUGUGAGACCAUUUAAAAUAGUGAAAUGAAUCAGCAACUCACCAGCAUCCAUAAACACAUCAAUAUUCUUGAUUUAAUUUUCAUUUAAAUUUCAUGCUUUCAGAUGGCGUUGGGAGCAAUAUGUUGCACCAUUGAUAUAAGCAAGACUCGGAGGUCUUCAAAAAUAGGAUUUCUUUUUUGUCUAUUACUGCAAAUGAGUCUACUCUCUAAAGUGUGGACUACCACAAUGACUAGUACAACAACCACUCUGACAACAGAUGGGACAUCAUCAUCAGUGUCAGAAGCUGAAAUCCAGAGUUCAACCACUCAAUCUACAAUUCCAGUAAUAGUGUCCUCCUCCACUUCUUCUGACCAAACGUCAUCUAUAGCCACAUCAGGCACUUCCGUGACAGAAGCUUCAUCAACAAUUGCUAGUACAGCAACCACUUUGACAACAGAUGCGAUAUCAUCUACAAUAUCAGAAACUGAAAGCCAGAGUUGGACCACUCAAUCUACAAUUCCAGUAAUAGUGUCCUCCUCCACUUCUUCUGACCAAACGUCGUCUACAGCCACAUCAGGCACUUCCGUGACAGAAGCUUCAUCCACAAUGGCUAGUACAGCAACCACUCUGACAACAGAUGCGAUAUCAUCAUCAAUGUCAGAAGCUGAAAUCCAGAGUUCAACCACUCAAUCUACAAUUCCAGUAAUAGUGUCCUCCUCCACUUCUUCUGACCAAACGUCAUCUAUAGCCACAUCAGGCACUUCCGUGACAGAAGCUUCAUCAACAAUUGCUAGUACAGCAACCACUUUGACAACAGAUGCGAUAUCAUCUACAAUAUCAGAAACUGAAAGCCAGAGUUGGACCACUCAAUCUACAAUUCCAGUAAUAGUGUCCUCCUCCACUUCUUCUGACCAAACGUCGUCUACAGCCACAUCAGGCACUUCCGUGACAGAAGCUUCAUCCACAAUGGCUAGUACAGCAACCACUCUGACAACAGAUGCAAUAUCAUCAUCAAUGUCAGAAGCUGAAAUCCAGAGUUCAACCACUCAAUCUACAAUUCCAGUAAUAGUGUCCUCCUCCACUUCUUCUGACCAAACGUCAUCUAUAGCCACAUCAGGCACUUCCGUGACAGAAGCUUCAUCAACAAUUGCUAGUACAGCAACCACUUUGACAACAGAUGCGAUAUCAUCUACAAUAUCAGAAACUGAAAGCCAGAGUUGGACCACUCAAUCUACAAUUCCAGUAAUAGUGUCCUCCUCCACUUCUUCUGACCAAACGUCGUCUACAGCCACAUCAGGCACUUCCGUGACAGAAGCUUCAUCCACAAUGGCUAGUACAGCAACCACUCUGACAACAGUUGCGAUAUCAUCUACAAUGUCAGAAACUGAAAGCCAGAGUUCGACCACUCAAUCUACAAAUCUAGUAAGAGUGUCCUCCUCCACUUCUUCUGACCAAACGUCGUCUACAGCCACAUCAGGCACUUCCGUGACAGAAGCUUCAGCCACUAACAUACAAAGCACUACUUCUAACAGUUCUACUGUUGCCUCAACAGGCAUUACUAGUAUGGACACAGCAAAUACAUCUUCUUCAGAAAAUUACACUGCUCUAUCCUGUCCAGCAUUUGAUUGCACAAAAGAUUGUUAUGUCCAGUUUAUGAAUACGACGGCUAAACCUUGCCAAUCCAGUGAAUAUUUCUGUAAGAUAACGCAACAGGACACAGGUUACUCUGUCAGCUGCAGUGCCUCAUGUGGUGUAUCCUGCGGGAACGGGACUGUCAGUAAUUGCUCUGUGCACUGUUGCAACACAACCAACUGCCUCAGCAACACCCUGCUUGACAUGUCCAGUUCACUCAGUACAACAGUAGCUACAACAAACUCCACUACUACAACCACAACAAUCAAGGCCACAGUUACAACCACCCAAGCAAAUAAUGGCAAGAAGUGUAAUACUUUCAACUGUAAUGGGGUGGCGUGUUACAAAACCAAUAAUGUCGGCAGUAAUGUCAUGCUGUGUCCAGUUGGUCAGGACUACUGCAUGCUACAAAAGACAACAUCUGGCAGUGCAGAGAGCUGGCAGGCAGGUUGCAGUACAGAUUGCAGAAAGAUGACAGUUUGUUCAAGCACCACUACUAUCUGCCACUUGGAGUGCUGCAAUGCCACUACCACCUCAUGUCUCAAACUGUCAGGUGACAUGAACAUGCCCAGCUCCGCCACCAGAGGUCCUCACUGUCCCGCACUGCUCAUGGCCUCUUUGCUGCUCUUUUGGAUAGUCAAAGUCUUUACUUGAGUGUAACAAAGUCACACUUAAUACGCAAUCCAGGGAAGCUCUGUUUUCUGUUAGGAGAGUGUAUGUGUGCUUUAAAGCUGAGUGUAUUUCUUUCACUGUCACUUUUAUAUUAUUUGUGAUGCAAGCAAAUGAAAAUGUGUGUGUGUGUGUGUGUGUGUGUAUAGAUGCCAAAUAAGCUUUACCAUGGGCAUCCAUAGAGAGUUAUGUCAAGUGGAAACAUGCCUGUUGUUGGAUUCUUUAUUUCACAGAGACAGAUAGAAAUGAUCCACCAAGAAAUAUGUUAACACUGCAGAGACAAAUAUGAGGUUAGCUUCCUCUCAAGAGUUGUGAUUAAUUCUUCCUUUUUUUGACAUUAAUGUACACUGUAAGAAAAAAAUCAGUAGAAAAUGGAUGAUGUCUUGGCAGAAAAUUACAAGUAUCAUUUCCGUUAAGUUUAUGGACAUUUCCUUCAACCCUAAAACUCAAUUAAAAAUCCCGGAAAAACACUGUGAAAAAUGUAUAAAUAUUAACAUGGCUUUUCUUACAGUUUACAUAUGUUUGAAUUUUGAUUACAGUCGAUCAUAGUUAUCUGAGGCUUCUUUACUUACUCGUAUUUUGUUUGGUGUCCAUUGUACAAAGGUUUUGUGCUUUUUAAAAAAGCAAAUUUCUAUUCUAUAUUACUCAAAAUACUUCAAAGAAUAUUAUCAUAAUGCUCAGAUAAUCCAUUUUCUGAUACUAAUUAUAUGAUAUAACACAUUUGUUGUCCAAUCAGACAGAGUUCACCCUGUGUGCAUGCAAAAAUAAUAGUUAUGUACAAACCAGUUAAUGCCAAACGAAUGGAGUAUGCACUUUAUGCAUCUAAAUGGAAAUUAGACAAUUUAAAAUAUUUAUAAUGCAUUUAUAAUAUUGGACAUAUGAAAGCCUGUGGGUAAAACCCAUACUCAUAAACAAAAAGCUUUAUUUUUACAGAGAAAUAUGUUUAUUAAAAUGUAAGUGUACAGAUCUAAGAGUAUAGGCUAAUAACUUUUGAAUUAACAAAUUCUGUCAGAGUAAAACUACAGAUAAUCUAAUAAAGGUAAUGAUUAGGAGUUUGACAUCUUGACUGAUAAGGGUUGCAGUGAUGUUUAUUGCUCUGUACUUCUUUAAUCUGACAGCAAUGAAACAGCUUCACUGUUGCACAAGAAAUAUAUUUUAACAAUUGCUCUUAAAAUUAAUAAAUAAAUGUUUUGUCUUCUCAGCACCCAGUCUAUCAUGUAUUUGUAAAUUUUCUUGUUUUUUACAUUCUUCUAAAAAUGUAUCUUCUUGAACUUCUGGAACUUCUGUAUUAGAUUGACCUGGUUAACCAGUCUGCAUUAAAGGGAUAGUUCACCCAAAAAAAUGCUCACUCUCAAACCAUCCUAGGUGUAUAUGACUCUUCUUUCAAAAAACAGUCUGAGUUAUAUUAAAAAAUGACCUGAAGUGGUGUUCCGGCAGAUGACAUAGGAGAUAGAGUAAGCUUUGGUGAGAAUACGCUAGUCUUGCAAAAUCCCAGUUUUAUUAACAGCAAAGGAAAACAAGUCUCCUCUUGAUUUAUAUUAAAAUCCUCUAACAUUUUUCUUUACAAAUCCUCAUUUCGUACUUCUAAUUCGUGACCAGUGUUUUGUUUUGCUCUCUCCUCUGCACUUCCGUGUUCACCACGUCUCACCAGAGCUUACUCUAUGCCUACAUCCUACAUCAUCUGCCGAAUGCCACUCUCUCGUGAACAGAAGUACGACAGUUUGCAGAAGCUAGAGAUUACGGAUUAUAAAGUUGUAAAUAUGGAUAUUUUUUCUUACACAAACGCAUCGUUUCACUUCAGAAGGCAUUUAUUAACCCUCUGGAGCCAUGUGAAGUACUUUUUAUGAUGGAUGGAUGCACUUUUUUGGGCUUCAAAAUCUUGACCACCAUUUAUAGUCAUUAUAAAACUUGGAAGAGCCAGUACAAUUUUUAAUAUAACUCUGAUUAUAUUCAUCUAAAAAAAGAAAGUCUUAUACACCUAGGAUGUCGGGUGAGUAAAUCAUGGGGUAAUUUUAAUUUUUCAUUUGAAUUAGAUCUGAUUAAUACACAACUGUGUCAGUCACAUAAAUUAUCUAAUUAAACAUCAUGCAGGUUUAGGAAUAUUGUAUACAGACAGAUGAAAGACUAUGAGGAGGUAUAUUUAGAUAUGGGUAAAAUAAAAUACUAAAAUACAACUAUUACUAUACUAUUCAGUAUUUUAGAAUAGAAUAAUACUAAUCGUUUUUGCAAUAUUCAGCAUGUGUAGUUUAAUAAGCAAAGUUUAAAAGGAAUACCUGAAAAAUGUUGGCUACAAUAUACAACAAAGUACAUUACAUACACUAAAAGGACAAAAUUAUUGGUACACGUCUUAAUUGUUUAAUGCAGGUGUUUCAAUCAGACUUAUUACCACAGGUGUAUAAAAUCAAGCACCUAGUCAUGCAGUCUGCAUUUACAAAUAUUUGCACUAAAAGUGUGUGUGUGGGGGGGGGGGUCAUUCUGAAGAGUUAAGUGAAUUCAGACAUGGUGUGUAUAAGUCGACAACACUCCGGUGAUUCCAUCGCUGAAGAGUUCCAAACUUCCACUGGCAUUAAUAUCAACACAAAAACUGUGCAGUUGGAGCUUCAUGGAAUGGGUUUCAGUGGACAAGAAGCUGCAUGCAAGACUCUCUUCACCAAGCAUUGGCUGAAGUAGUGUAAAGCACACCACCACUGGACUCUGGAGCAGUGGAAACUUCUUAAUGCUUCAGCAUACCAAGAUAACUUUGUGGGAACUGUUUGGGGAAGGCCCUUUUCUAUUCUUACUUGUACCCAGUGCACAAAGCAAGGUCCAUAAAUACAUGAUUGGAUGAGUUUGGUGUGGAAGAUCUUGACUGACCCACACAGAGCCCUGACCUCAAGUCUAUCAAACACCUUUGAAAUGAACAUCAGUGCCUGACCUCAAAUGCUCUACUGAAUGGGCAAAAAUUCCUACAGAAACAUUCCAAAAUCUUGUGGAAACCCUUUCCAGAAUGGAAGGUGUUGUUAGAAAAGGGGGAUCAACUUCAUUAAUGUCUAUGUAUUUAAACGCAAUGUCAUUAAAAUCCCAAGGUGUCAGGUGUCUUAAUCAGUGGUGGAUUAAGGUAUGGGCGACAUGGGCAACCACCCAGGGCAGCAUCUAGAGUGGCGGCACAAGAAAAAAAAAAGGAAUGCGCUAUCUGGUUUUUACCAUUCAUUUGCACUGUACGUCAAUAUCAUGUCACCUUGUGGGUCAGUUAACCUGGUCAAGAGUGCACCCGGAGAAGUACUCUCUCACUCAGACACAGACAGAGGGUGAACCAACUCCAGAAGCCUAAAAUUUAGACUUAUAACUACACAAAUCACAAACCUGGGCUGCGUUUCCCGAUAAGGAUGUCUCUCAGCGUGCUACGAAGACUUUAAAGGUAUACCUUAACUAGGGGUAUACCUUUCCUAGGUGUGUUCCCCGAACUAUACCUUAGGAUGUUGCUUAAGGUAAACCUUCUUACGUGCAACGUUAGCAGGUGCUAUCCCUGGUGGUGGUGCUGAAUAGGUUGAUAUCGAUGGCUCCAGAAUCGAUUGUUCACUAUAUACAGGAGCUCUUUCACUGCGUUACAGAGCGGGUAAUGUAUUGAGAAAGCGAUAUUCAUUAUAAAGAAACACUUUAGAAAAAAUAGAAAUUGCAUUUAUCGGGGCUCACUGCAUUUAUAAAAUAAUCCAAAUUUCAAACUAAAUGCGACCUUGGACAACAUAUAUAUAUAUAUAUAUAUAUAUAUAUAUAUAUAUAUAUAUAUAUGUGUGUGUGUGUGUGUGUGUGUGUGUGUGUGUGUGUGUGUGUGUGUGUUUAUGUACAGUAUGUAUGUACAGUAUGUAGCCUAUAAUUUGGCAAGUGUCCGAACCUGCAACCCUUACAGCCAAAAGUAUUCUGCCUUAACCCUCUGGAGUCUAAGGGUAUUUUUGGGGCCUGGAGAAGUUUUGUCAUGCCCUGACAUUUGUGCUUUUUUCAGUUUCUUAUAAAUAUCUAAAUGGCUAAAGUCUAAUCUCACUGUAAUCAGCACAAACUAGGCUAUAAUAAUAUGUGAGCAGCAUGUAUGUACAUGAUUGUGUUUUUUUGAGAAAAAAAUGUUAUGCGUGGUUAGUGAAAAAAACUAAAAAAAUGUUAAAUCACUUGAAAAAGGCAAUAAAACACAUACAGAAAAUUGGUUCCCAGGAAUUUUGAGAACUGGAGCUUGUAGCCUAGAAUUUUUUUUUUCUAAAUGAUGUGUAAAUCAUCUUGUUUACUCACUUACAGAAAACGAUAUAUUGAUUUAAAUUUUCUAAGACAGUUUUUGUUGGUAAAAGUCAUAUGCGAGUAGGCGUCAACUAUCAUGAAUUCACACCUGAGAAGACAAAGGCCUGCAUAAUGAGCUGCAUAAUGAGCCAUUCAGUCAGCUGUGUCACUGAGAGGGAUGAGUUACAAGAAAGAAUGUGAGGACAAAAUAAAUCUAUAUAAUUUUAUGUUUGUAGUUUAUUUAGAAUACAUUUAAUUAUCCCACAACAUAAUUUAAUAUUCACUUGUGAGUGCAGUUAAACAGUUUAUUAGGAAAAAUCAAAGCUGACUUUCAAACUGAAUUUUUUGCAUCAUUACUCCAGUCACACAGUCCUUCAGAAAUCCUUUUUAACAAUCUUAUUUUCUACAAAAACAUUUAUUGUUAUUAUUAUCAUCAUCAUCAUUAUUAUUAUUAUUAUUAUUAUUAUUAUUAAUGUUGAAAAGAGCUGAGAAUAUUUUUUUUAGGUUUUUUAGGGGGGAUAAAUUGAAAGAACAGCAAUGAUUGUUACAUUUGUUACAGUUACAUUUAUUGUUACAUUUAUAUUAUUUACAUUAAGCUUUUUGAAUGGUAUAGUGGUGUAUAUUGUUAUUGAAACUUCAUAAU
This is a long non-coding RNA of Cyprinus carpio carpio, 8006 nucleotides long. Lineage: Eukaryota; Metazoa; Chordata; Actinopteri; Cypriniformes; Cyprinidae. The record is from Ensembl.